This 492-nucleotide ribosomal RNA is filed under the name uncultured bacterium. RNAcentral describes it as "partial 16S ribosomal RNA". It matches the Rfam family "Bacterial small subunit ribosomal RNA", at positions 29 to 507 of the family's 1533-position model. The record is from RNAcentral.
AGUGAACGCUGGCGGUAGGCCUAACACAUGCAAGUCGAACGGCAGCACAGUAAGAGCUUGCUCUUACGGGUGGCGAGUGGCGGACGGGUGAGGAAUACAUCGGAAUCUACUUUUUCGUGGGGGAUAACGUAGGGAAACUUACGCUAAUACCGCAUACGACCUACGGGUGAAAGCAGGGGAUCUUCGGACCUUGCGCGAUUGAAUGAGCCGAUGUCGGAUUAGCUAGUUGGCGGGGUAAAGGCCCACCAAGGCGACGAUCCGUAGCUGGUCUGAGAGGAUGAUCAGCCACACUGGAACUGAGACACGGACCAGACUCCUACGGGAGGCAGCAGUGGGGAAUAGUGGACAAUGGGCGCAAGCCUGAUCCAGCCAUACCGCGUGGGUGAAGAAGGCCUUCGGGUUGUAAAGCCCUUUUGUUGGGAAAGAAAAGCAGCAGGUUAAUACCCCGCUGUUCUGACGGUACCCAAAGAAUAAGCACCGGCUAACUUCGUG